This 284-nucleotide ribosomal RNA is filed under the name Vibrio aestuarianus subsp. francensis. RNAcentral describes it as "partial 16S ribosomal RNA". It matches the Rfam family "Bacterial small subunit ribosomal RNA", at positions 1 to 278 of the family's 1533-position model. The record is from RNAcentral. Lineage: Bacteria; Pseudomonadati; Pseudomonadota; Gammaproteobacteria; Vibrionales; Vibrionaceae.
UUAAUUGAAGAGUUUGAUCAUGGCUCAGAUUGAACGCUGGCGGCAGGCCUAACACAUGCAAGUCGAGCGGUAACAUUUCAAAAGCUUGCUUUUGAAGAUGACGAGCGGCGGACGGGUGAGUAAUGCCUAGGAAAUUGCCCUGAUGUGGGGGAUAACCAUUGGAAACGAUGGCUAAUACCGCAUGAUGCCUACGGGCCAAAGAGGGGGACCUUCGGGCCUCUCGCGUCAGGAUAUGCCUAGGUGGGAUUAGCUAGUUGGUGAGGUAAUGGCUCACCAAGGCGACG